This 854-nucleotide ribosomal RNA is filed under the name Rhytismatales sp. RNAcentral's name for it is "partial large subunit ribosomal RNA". It matches the Rfam family "Eukaryotic large subunit ribosomal RNA", at positions 68 to 939 of the family's 3401-position model. Lineage: Eukaryota; Fungi; Ascomycota; Leotiomycetes; Rhytismatales. The record is from RNAcentral.
ACAGGGAUUGCCUCAGUAACGGCGAGUGAAGCGGCAACAGCUCAAAUUUGAAAUCUGGCUCUUUCAGGGUCCGAGUUGUAAUUUGUAGAAGAUGCUUCGGGUGUGGUUCCGGUCUAAGUUCCUUGGAACAGGACGUCAUAGAGGGUGAGAAUCCCGUAUGUGACCGGCUACCUUCGCUCAUGUGAAGCUCUUUCGACGAGUCGAGUUGUUUGGGAAUGCAGCUCAAAAUGGGUGGUAAAUUUCAUCUAAAGCUAAAUAUUGGCCAGAGACCGAUAGCGCACAAGUAGAGUGAUCGAAAGAUGAAAAGCACUUUGGAAAGAGAGUUAAAUAGUACGUGAAAUUGUUGAAAGGGAAGCGCUUGCAAUCAGACUUGCACGCAGUUGAUCAUCCGGUGUUCUCACCGGUGCACUCUGCUGCGUUCAGGCCAGCAUCGGUUCUGGUGGUUGGAUAAAGGCCUUGGGAAUGUGGCUCCUCUCGGGGAGUGUUAUAGCCCUCGGUGCAAUGCAGCCUACCGGGACCGAGGACCGCGCUUCGGCUAGGAUGCUGGCGUAAUGGUUGUAAGCGACCCGUCUUGAAACACGGACCAAGGAGUCUAACAUCUAUGCGAGUGUUUGGGUGUCAAACCCAUACGCGUAAUGAAAGUGAACGGAGGUGAGAACCCUUAAGGGUGCAUCAUCGACCGAUCCUGAUGUCUUCGGAUGGAUUUGAGUAAGAGCAUAGCUGUUGGGACCCGAAAGAUGGUGAACUAUGCGUGAAUAGGGUGAAGCCAGAGGAAACUCUGGUGGAGGCUCGCAGCGGUUCUGACGUGCAAAUCGAUCGUCAAAUUUGCGCAUAGGGGCGAAAGACUAAUCGAA